This 431-nucleotide ribosomal RNA is filed under the name uncultured bacterium. RNAcentral describes it as "bacterial SSU rRNA". It matches the Rfam family "Bacterial small subunit ribosomal RNA", at positions 281 to 703 of the family's 1533-position model. The record is from RNAcentral.
CGGUAGCUGGUCUGAGAGGAUGAUCAGCCACACUGGGACUGAGACACGGCCCAGACUCCUACGGGAGGCAGCAGUGGGGAAUAUUGGACAAUGGGCGAAAGCCUGAUCCAGCAAUGCCGCGUGGGGUGAAGACGGCCUGCGGGUUGUAAAGCCCUUUAGGUGGGGAGGAAAGGCGGGACGUGAACAGCGUUUCGCACUGACGUUACCCACGGAAUAAGCACCGGCUAACUCCGUGCCAGCAGCCGCGGUAAUACGGAGGGUGCGAGCGUUAAUCGGAAUUACUGGGCGUAAAGCGUGCGUAGGCGGUUUGGUCAGUCAGCCGUGAAAGCCCCGGGCUUAACCUGGGAACGGCGGUUGAGACGGCCAGACUUGAGUGGGCUAGAGGAUCGUGGAAUUCCCGGUGUAGCAGUGAAAUGCGUAGAGAUCGGGAG